This 2181-nucleotide ribosomal RNA is filed under the name Triticum aestivum (bread wheat). Its description in RNAcentral is "partial small subunit ribosomal RNA". Lineage: Eukaryota; Viridiplantae; Streptophyta; Magnoliopsida; Poales; Poaceae. The record is from RNAcentral.
AUGGGUCUCUCAAGUGAUGUGCAAUGGUGGGAGGAGUGGCAGCUCCGCAUUCUCGUGCUCGGCAGCCUCUUCCUCCAGUUAUUGCUCUACUUCUCUGAUUAUGUGCGUACAAGGCCUCUCCUACGCAAGUUCAGAGUGCUCGUGUGGAUGGCAUACAUAGGCAGCGACGCACUGGCCAUCUACGCCCUCGCCACCCUCUUCAACCGCCAGAAGCAGUGGACGGCGGACGGUGGGAGCACCGCCCUGGAGGUCGUAUGGGCGCCGGUCCUCCUCAUCCACCUCGGCGGCCAGAUGGCAAUAACUGCCUACAGCCUCGAAGACAAUGAGCUAUGGAGGCGGCAUGCCGUAACCCUGGUGUCUCAGGUCACGGUCGCCUUGUACGUCUUCUUCAAGUGGUGGUCCGGCGAGAAGAGGCUACUUGCGGUGGCGGCCAUGCUCUUCGUCAGUGGCAUCAUCAAAUUCAGCCACAAGCCAUGGGCACUCCAGAGAGCUAGCUUUAAUAGCAUGCUGGAAGGCAUUGCUAUCGACCCGAGAAGACAGGUACCUGCAGACAAUACCUGCUGGACAUUCUGCACUUCUGACAUAAUAUUCAAGCAGAUGAUGUCCACCAGGAGAAGAAGGUCGGCAGGAGGAGAAGAAGAACAAGAAGAAGAGCUCGACAUUUUGCUUGAAGAAUACGUACAGAAAGCACAGAAGCACGUGCAGGUGCAGGCAGUAGGCAGUGAUCAAGAUGAAGACUAUGAAAGCACUGUGAUGGAUUACAUGCAUAAGAUGUUUGUCGACAUGUCUGCUACCUACUCUGAUCGGCUUACCAUGUUGCGACCUUUCCUGACGCUGGACGAGAAGAGUGCAAAUUACACGUUACAGAUGUUCCUCGGAUACAUAUUCCAGAUCUUGUACAGCAAAUCCAGAUCACUGCGCAGCAUUCUUACCUUCUGCGUAUGGGGUAUUUUGGUUCCAUGCCUGGCCUUAGCUUCCCUGGUGCUCUUCGCCGUGACCCACAAGGACGGCUACAGCGACAAGGACGUCAGGGUGACAUACAUCCUGCUUUGCUGCAAUGCUGUGCUGGAGUUGCUACCCUACCUCUACGCUGUCCUACAAUCCUCCUUGGAAUUGUUACCCUGCUUGAAAAACUGCUUGAGAAACUGCUUGGAUUGGAUCAUAGCCAUCACUUUGGUAUGUCUCUGCACAACAUAUGUUGGGGAGGACAGGGUCUCCCAGCACAGCCUGCUGUCAUCCGUUGCUCGCACCAAGAAGCCCACCAUCCUUAUGGAGCUUGCCACCUUCAUAUGUCUCAGAAGGUACAUCAACAAGCAUUGGUAUAUUGGGCAGGUAGAUGCAUCCCGGCAUAUAACGGGGCUGCUUCUCGGACACAUGAAAGAUGGGUGGAAGGAGUACAUAAGCGACGCUGCCAGCUACAGAAGGUUCAGCAAUCUCAGGGGCCAGUGGACCUUGCAUCGCCUAGGACUGGAACGGGGCCAGCGUCAAGGGCUUGCGUGGAGCUUCAAGGUGGCGUUCGACAGAAGCGUCCUUCUCUGGCACAUUGCCACGGACCUCUGUUUUCACCACCCAAAUACUAGCUCCACUCGAGGCGACGCCGCGGCCACGCAGCAUAGCAGGGAGAUGUCCAACUACAUGAUCUACUUGCUUUGCAUCCGCCCUGAGAUGCUAUUGCCUGGCACCAGCCCGGGCCUCUUCGACGUCGCCUCCGAUGCUCUCGAGGACGCCUUCAAGGGUAGUAAGGCACUGCUCCACAAAGAAGAAACGCUUGCGCUGGAGAUCAUGGAUAUGGGGAAGUCGUCGUCAGCCACAGCCCCAGCCCCAGCCCCAGGCAAUCUGAUUCCAAGUGCGUGCCGCCUUGCUGAGGCACUCAUGGGGCUGGAUGACGAGGAGAAGAGGUGGCGGGUGAUCCAGGGGGUGUGGGUGGAAAUGCUGUGCUAUUCUGCUGCUAGAUGCAGAGGCUACCUUCACGCCAAGAGCUUGGGUGAAGGCGUGGAGUACCUCUCCUACGUCUGGCUCUUAUGGUCAUUCAUGGGGAUGGAGACCUUGGCCGACAAGUUCCAGAAGCCCGAGGAGCCUCCUGAAGCUUUAGCUGAAGAAGAAAUCGCUCCUGCUACAAGGGCGUCGCCUUCCCCACCCGAAGCAAAGCAAACUGAAGAAGAGAUUUCUAGCCCGGUUUGA